UUAAAACACAAACACUCCAUUUGGAGUCUUCUGGAGAUCGACCAGAGCAAGGAGGGGCGACCCAGAUUUCUCAAACCCUAAGUUCAUGCUAUUUGAUCAAUUGAAGGCAAAUUUCAGUCCCAAAUCAAAUUCCGAGCAUAGAUUAAUGAUCCCCAUCGCAAGGAGAUCAUAAGGUAUGCAAUAUUUGACAAAAAUUCUCUACUUGAAUUUCUGGAUGAACUUAGAGAAUUCGAAUUAGAUGGUUGCAUGUUCGUUAUAUGAUGAAAUAGGAACAUUGUAUCUUCUGGAGAUCGACCAGAGCAAGGAGGGGCGACCCAGAUUUCUCAAACCCUAAGUUCAUGCUAUUUGAUCAAUUGAAGGCAAAUUUCAGUCCCAAAUCAAAUUCCGAGCAUAGAUUAAUGAUCCCCAUCGCAAGGAGAUCAUAAGUUUGACUCUUGACAAGCUAGAUGGAGGCUUGGGAAUGAAGCGGGUCAAACGGAGCAAGUACGAAAAGGAAAGCGUAAUUUGGAUGCGAGGUAAGUAAAACUUACACCCUUUAUGUUGGACACGUAUUUAUUUUAUAAACUAUAAAUGAGAACGAUGUAACAUCCAAAAUAAGGGUUCCGACACGAUUGACACAAGUCGGAACAAGUAUAAAUGAUAAAAACCAUGGCUUAUGGUAAACGGGGCGAAUGGGUGAAUUUGGAAAUUUAAAACCAUGCUUUUAUUCUAAUUUAUGUAAAGGUUUGGUCUUAUAAUCCAAACGGGUCAAAUGGUGAUGAUAACACCAUUUGACAAUAUUGACUAAUGUGAUUGUCAAGUUGUAUGUUAUCAGGAACGAUUAGCAAUUUGAAUAAUUGUGACGCCGUAGAAUAUUGGUUAAUUUAACGCGAGGUAUAUAACGGAUCUAUAGGUUGGCUCGAGCCAG
This 907-nucleotide long non-coding RNA is filed under the name Helianthus annuus (common sunflower). Lineage: Eukaryota; Viridiplantae; Streptophyta; Magnoliopsida; Asterales; Asteraceae. The record is from RNAcentral.